RNAcentral lists this long non-coding RNA (541 nucleotides) under Capsicum annuum. RNAcentral describes it as "long non-coding RNA (CANN_LNC015223)". The record is from RNAcentral. Lineage: Eukaryota; Viridiplantae; Streptophyta; Magnoliopsida; Solanales; Solanaceae.
AUCCAUUCACAUCACAAAGAGGGCCCCACAAUAACCAAAAGGAGGCCAUUUUUAUUUUUGUCAUUAUCUUCUUCUUCACUAAAAAAAAAUUCCCUAGAAGAAUAGAAAACCACACUGCAAAAAUAUUCUCCAUGAUUUUGUUUUGUUCUAAAACACGCAUAGACCUGGUAAACAUACUCAAUGGCACACACGUAGAAAUAGAGAGGUUGAGAGUGAGAGAUUGUGCAAGAAAAUAGAUCAAAGACAGCUAAAAAUGGAGAGAUUCAGUCUUUCUCUGAGCUUUUUCUGGCUAAACUUUCACCGGAGUUGAUUUUGGUUCAUCAUCUGGCCAACCAAAUUCAAAAGGUCUCAAAAUUUCUUCAUUUUUCUUUGAUUUCUAGGUAGAAUUGGUUGAAAAACACUAAGAUUCGAUGGAAAACAGAACCAGUAGUGAUUUUUGUUGUUGAAAUCAGUUUUAUUUCAGAUCAUCUUUGCGAUUUGUUCACUCUCAGGCUGGUUUAUGUUAUUGUUAUUUGGUUUUGGGUCUCAUCGGUCACCGGCU